Molecule: ribosomal RNA, 253 nt
Filed under: uncultured bacterium
Lineage: Bacteria
Description: partial 16S ribosomal RNA
Rfam family: Bacterial small subunit ribosomal RNA
Source: RNAcentral
UACGUAGGGGGCAAGCGUUGUCCGGACUUAUUGGGCGUAAAGAGCGUGUAGGCGGCCAGACAGGUCCGUUGUGAAAACUGGAGGCUUAACCUUCAGACGUCGAUGGAAACCGUCUGGCUAGAGUCCGGAAGAGGAGAGUGGAAUUCCUGGUGUAGCGGUGAAAUGCGCAGAUAUCAGGAAGAACACCCGUGGCGAAGGCGGCUCUCUAGUACGGUACUGACGCUGAGACGCGAAAGCGUGGGGAGCGAACAGG